GGCCUCAUGUUGGAAUUGGUAGACAACCAAGACUUAAAAUCUUGUGCUCCUUGUGGGCGUCCCGGUUCGAGUCCGGGUGAGGCCACCA
Molecule: transfer RNA, 88 nt
Filed under: Candidatus Pelagibacteraceae bacterium
Lineage: Bacteria; Pseudomonadati; Pseudomonadota; Alphaproteobacteria; Candidatus Pelagibacterales; Candidatus Pelagibacteraceae
Description: tRNA-Leu
Rfam family: tRNA
About the family: Transfer RNA (tRNA) molecules are approximately 80 nucleotides in length. Their secondary structure includes four short double-helical elements and three loops (D, anti-codon, and T loops).
Source: RNAcentral